CCUACCAAGGCAAAGACGGGUAGGGGGCGUGAGAGCGUGACCCCCCACACUGGUACUGAAACACGGACCAGAUACCUACGGGUAGCAGCAGCAAGGAAUAUUGCCCAAUGGACGAAAGUCUGAAGACCAACGCCGCGUGGAGGAAGAAGGCCUUCGGGUUGUAAACUCCUUUUCUGGGGGAAGAGAAAGGACGGUACCCCAGGAAUAAGUCUCGGCUAACUACGUGCCAGCAGCCGCGGUAAU
RNAcentral lists this ribosomal RNA (243 nucleotides) under uncultured bacterium. RNAcentral describes it as "partial 16S ribosomal RNA". It matches the Rfam family "Bacterial small subunit ribosomal RNA", at positions 264 to 524 of the family's 1533-position model. The record is from RNAcentral.